Siniperca chuatsi (mandarin fish) is the source of this 827-nucleotide long non-coding RNA. RefSeq lists it as uncharacterized. The transcript has 2 exons. The record is from RefSeq and is a predicted model, not a curated record. NCBI's taxonomy places the organism in Eukaryota, Metazoa, Chordata, Actinopteri, Centrarchiformes, Sinipercidae.
UUGUAAAUAAGAUUCUGCUCUGACAUUCGCUGACAUGAUACAUAAAAUUCAUAAAUUCCUCUGACUGAAUGAAAGCAGAAGCUCCCAGCAGAUCCAUUGUGGGAAAGUUGGUAACCAUGGCAGCCCUGUGAUUGACACACAAUCCCUGUCAGUGUUUAUCAGUAACCAUGUUUUGGCACGCUACUGAGUUAAUUCUCAACCAAUGUUGCUUAGGAGGUAAUUACAAAAAGGCAGUACGGCCAGCAGACAAAGACUCGUAAAAUAAAACCAACACACAGUCAGGAGCCCAAACUCAACAGGAAGUCUCGAGGUUGCCAUAGAGAACAAAGGCACCUGAACCCACAACACUUACACAGGUUUUAAGGUUAUGACCGGUGUUUUAAUACUCUAUACGCCUCUGGACUCCAGUCAGCUGAACAGCACACUGUAGACUCUUAGACAUCAUGGGUUGCAACACAAGCCGAGGUGCCACAGUGGUGGACCCUUCUGAAAAGCCAGAGGAGAGGCCGAAGACAGCCACUUCCACCAAGGAGGCGUCUGCAGAGGAAACCAAUGGAACAACAGACAAAGACGAGGAUGAAAAAACGGGGAGCUCCAGCUGAGUGCCAUCUUUACACCCCAACCUAAACUCUUCUCAAAAUUGGCCUGUCUGGGGUGAAGGAGGGCCUGUCAGCAGGAGGAGGCGACGCUGCACUACUGUCCAUCAACCUCUGUGUCAUCUGGGCCAGCCACACACACACACAAAUACACACACUUCUGAAGAAAUCCACCUCUUGUGUUCAUAAUCCAGAAACUAUUUUGUGAUAAAUAUACUGAUUCAAAUACUG